AUUGAACGCUGGCGGCAUGCCUUACACAUGCAAGUCGAACGGUAACAGCACUUCGGUGGCUGACGAGUGGCGAACGGGUGAGUAAUACAUCGGAACGUGCCCGAGAGUGGGGGAUAACGCAGCGAAAGCUGUGCUAAUACCGCAUACGAUCUACGGAUGAAAGCAGGGGACCGCAAGGCCUUGCGCUCAUGGAGCGGCCGAUGGCAGAUUAGGUAGUUGGUGGGAUAAAAGCUUACCAAGCCGACGAUCUGUAGCUGGUCUGAGAGGACGACCAGCCACACUGGGACUGAGACACGGCCCAGACUCCUACGGGAGGCAGCAGUGGGGAAUUUUGGACAAUGGGGGAAACCCUGAUCCAGCCAUGCCGCGUGCAGGAUGAAGGCCUUCGGUUGUAACUAGCUUUGUACGGAACGAAAGGUACGUUUCUAAUAAAGAAGACUCAUGACGGUACCGUAAGAAUAAGCACCGGCUAACUACGUGCCAGCAGCCG
Molecule: ribosomal RNA, 490 nt
Filed under: uncultured bacterium
Lineage: Bacteria
Description: bacterial SSU rRNA
Rfam family: Bacterial small subunit ribosomal RNA
Source: RNAcentral